RNAcentral lists this ribosomal RNA (433 nucleotides) under uncultured bacterium. Its description in RNAcentral is "partial 16S ribosomal RNA". It matches the Rfam family "Bacterial small subunit ribosomal RNA", at positions 29 to 507 of the family's 1533-position model. The record is from RNAcentral.
AACGAACGCUGGCGGCAUGCCUAACACAUGCAAGUCGAACGAGACCUUCGGGUCUAGUGGCGCACGUGUGCGUAACGCGUGGGAACCUGCCCUUAGGUUCGGAAUAACUCCCCGAAAGGGGUGCUAAUACCGGAUAAUGUCUUCGGACCAAAGAUCUAUCGCCUUUGGAUGGGCCCGCGUUGGAUUAGCUAGUUGGUAGGGUAAAAGCCUACCAAGGCGACGAUCCAUAGCUGGUCGGAGAGGAGGAUCAGCCACACUGGAGCUGAGACACGGCCCAGACUCCUACGGGGGGCAGCAGUAGGGAAUAUUAGGCGAGGGGCGAAAGCCUGAUACAGCAGUGCCGCGUGAGUGAUGAAGGGCUUAGGGUUGUAAAGCUCUUUUACCCGGGAUGAUAAUGACAGUACCGGGAGAAUAAGCACCGGCUAACUCCGUG